RNAcentral lists this ribosomal RNA (253 nucleotides) under uncultured bacterium. RNAcentral describes it as "partial 16S ribosomal RNA". It matches the Rfam family "Bacterial small subunit ribosomal RNA", at positions 524 to 776 of the family's 1533-position model. The record is from RNAcentral.
UACGGGGGGGGCAAGCGUUGUUCGGAAUUACUGGGCGUAAAGGGCUCGUAGGUGGCCAACUAAGUCAGACGUGAAAUCCCUCGGCUUAACCGGGGAACUGCGUCUGAUACUGGAUGGCUUGAGUUCGGGAGAGGGAUGCGGAAUUCCAGGUGUAGCGGUGAAAUGCGUAGAUAUUGGGAGGAACACCAGUGGCGAAGGCGGCUCACUGGACCGGAACUGACGCUGAGGCGCGAAAGCGUGGGGAGCAAACGGG